This 104-nucleotide microRNA precursor is filed under the name Marmota monax (woodchuck). The record is from RNAcentral. Lineage: Eukaryota; Metazoa; Chordata; Mammalia; Rodentia; Sciuridae.
AGAGGGAUUGCUGGGUCAAAUGGUGCUUCCAUUCUCAAUUUUCUAAGAAGUUUCCACACUACUUUCCAUAUUUGGCUGUACCAAUUUGCAGUCUCACCAGCAGU